RNAcentral lists this ribosomal RNA (408 nucleotides) under uncultured bacterium. Its description in RNAcentral is "partial 16S ribosomal RNA". It matches the Rfam family "Bacterial small subunit ribosomal RNA", at positions 28 to 526 of the family's 1533-position model. The record is from RNAcentral.
GACGAACGCUGGCGGCGUGCCUAAUACAUGCAAGUCGAGCGAAGCGGCUGAUGGGUGAGUAGCGCGUGGGUAACCCGCCCUUAAGUCAGGGAUACCAUUUGGAAACAGAUGCUAAUACAGAAUACUACUUGCUGGACCUUGGCUGCAGUAGCUAGUUGGUAAUGUAACGGCUUACCACGGCGAGGAUGCAUAGACGAGCUGAGAGACUGAUCGGCCACAUUGGGACUGAGACACGGCCCAAACUCCUAAGGGAGGCAGCAGUAGGGAAUAGUCCACAAUGGACGAAAGUCUGAUGGAGCAACGCCGCGUGAGUGAAGAAGGUGUUCGGAUCGUAAAGCUCUGUGGGUGGAGAAGCGGUAAACAACCAGAAAGUCACGGCUAACUACGUGCCAGCAGCCGCGGUAAUAC